RNAcentral lists this long non-coding RNA (5028 nucleotides) under Homo sapiens (human). Its description in RNAcentral is "HSALNT0147703". Lineage: Eukaryota; Metazoa; Chordata; Mammalia; Primates; Hominidae. The record is from RNAcentral.
GGAUGCCUGUGUGCCAGGAAGAAGUGUGCCAAGUGCUUUAUAUCCUGCGUAGUCAGGGUUCUUCAGAGAAAUGUGUGCGUAUAGAAUCUCUCUCUCUCUCUCUCUAUAUAUAUAUAUGUGUGUGUGUGUGUGUGUGUGUGUGUAUUAUAUAUGUGUAUGUAUAUAUAAGCUAUGUGUGUAUAUAUGUUAGAGAGAGAGAGAGAUACAGAGAAAAGUGUUUAAGGAAUCGGCACCUAAGUUAUUGGUAAAUCUGAAAUCUGUCGAGCGGGCUGGCAGGCUAAAAAUUAAGGAUCAUGGAGGAAUAAUGAAGUUGAGGUAUCUAAACUACCUAGCAGCAUUUGUGGCACAAAGAGACAUCUUGCAGACCAGUUUGAAGGCUUUCGAGAUGCAUGGUCAGAAAGAAAAGAAAUGAGAAGACACACAAGAGGAGCGUAGAGAUGAUUUGGGAAGCAAGAGGAGAAUUUCAGAGGCUGAAGAGAUGGGAGUGGGAUCAGUUGUAACGUGAAAGGAGUGGAAUAAAGGAAAUUGUGAAGAGAUUAAAAAGAGCUGCUCCAAAUGAAUUCUCGUCUCUUGCCUGAGGAGUGUGUCUCAAUGUACUCAGAGAAUUUGUACCUAUGGCUGAAUUGCUGUCAUCAAACUGAAGGAACCCCACAGUGGAAAAGAGUUUCUGGAAAAUUGGAUACAAGCAAAUGUCAUUUGGAAUUAUUAAAAAAGGAAGAAUUUAUGUUUGUGAACUACAGAGCACUGAGCUUGACAUUGAUCUGGGCAAGAUUCUUGAAUGAUUUUUUUUUUUAAACAAUGGCUUGUGAGUACUUAGAAAAGAAAAUGGUAAACUCAACGUGAGCUCACUAGAAUAGUCCUGUCAGAUUAGCUUCAUUUCCUACUGACAGAGUUACUGCACUGGGAGAUCAGAGAAAUAGAGUAGAAAUAGUGUAUCUAGAUUUCAGAAAACCUUUUGACAAGUUCUCUCAUGACACUCUUGAGGGCAAGAUGGGGAAAAGCAGCCUAAAUGAUGUUAUAAUUGCAGACUUAUAGCCAAUGGAAUAUUAGUAUACAAAAGAAUUAAUGAGUCAUUAUGAUUCAAUGAAACAUUUCAAUUCAAUUAACAUAUUUUUAUCUCUUAUGUUAGCCACUGUGCUGAAGUCUAGGGAUUUAUUUGUACAGAUAUAGAAUGAAGGAAUCCAGACUUGCCAACAGCAGCCUUCAAAUGAUCCAUUUGUGUGAUUUUGCUUUCAAAAACCUCAAUGUAAGCCUGAGAUAAUGUCAGACAAGUACAGUGUCUAAAAUUAAUUCAAGCAGUGCUUCUGUUCUUCUCUAUAUAGCGUGUGUUCACUUUUGGACUCCAUACAUUGAGAGACUCAUGGACUGGUACCUGUCCAUGUCCUGUUAGGAACCAGGAUGCACAGUAGGAGGUGAGUGGUAGGCAAGGGAGCAUUACCAACUGAGCUCCACCUCCUGUCAGAUCAGCAGUGGCAUAGAUCCUCACAGAAACGCAAACCCUAUUGUGUAACUGCCCAUGCAAGGAAUCUAGGUUUCAUGCUCCAUAUGAGAAUCUAUGCCUAAUGAUCUGAGAUAGAACAGUUUCAUCCUGAAACCAUCCCCACCCCCCCACCACUGUUCAUGGAAAAAUUGUCCUCCAUGAAACCAGUAUUUAGUGCCAAAAAGGUUAGGGACCACUGCUCUAGAUAGUAUCCCAAAAAGACUGAUCAAGAGGAUGACGAGAUAUCAAUAAAAUCAUAUGGAGAAGACAGAAUGAAGCAUUGAAAAGAGAGAACCCAUGACUACAUUAACAACCUCCAAGAAGGAGAUAUGGGACAGAGCAGGAGUUCCAGAUGGGCUACCUUGAAAGGUAGUGGGUUUCCUGUAAACAGAGAUUCUGAAAUGUGGACUGAAACACAAAUAUAAAGUGAGCGGAGAACCCAUGACUCAUAACCUUAAAACUGUACAGAGACAAAUAUGAAACUUAAAACUGUAAAGAGACUAAUAUGAAGGGUCCAGUUUACUGGAGAAAGUAGGACACCUUCGCAAAAGAGAUGCUGCCUACUGUUGAAUGAUGAGUUAUUUAGGCAUUCCAGGGAGAGGAGGGAAUUUCAGAUAAAGGAAACUGUGCCUCAAACUCACAGAACCAAGAAAAGAGUAAGCAAAUCCAAAAAAUUGCAAAUGAUUGUAUAUAGCUUUAAGAAAUAGGUAAACCGGGACUAUGAGAAGAUGAAAACAACAAAUUGACAAAGAUUAGACUAUGAAAGCCUUUAUUCCAGAAAGGGCCACUUAAACAUUUUAAUUAUGGGAAUAAUAUUAUUUAUAUGCAUGCUAGAGAAAUAAAUCCGGUGGGAGGGAAAGAAGAGGGCUGGGAGCAAGUUAGCAAAUAUUGAAAAAGCCCAAGAGACAAUAGGAGCUUAAAAUAAAUCAGGAUGAGAAGAACAGAUUAAGAAUAUUAUUAAUAUUGUUGUAUGUACAUGAAUGUAUUUUUAAUGAUGAGAGAUGUUUGGAAGCUCUAAUGUACAGAACUUAGACCCACUAGCUAAGUAAUGAUAUUUCAUGGAAUGAUUUGUAACAUGACAUAUCUAAAUUAUUAGAAUAGUAGAUUAGAUUAUAAAUAAUAUUUUAGUAAGAUAAAAAUAUAGCAUAAUGUUUAUGAAAAUUUUGAAACAAUCUCAUAUUGCUACUGUAUAAUGAACACUUUUGGAUUUCGAUUUUUAAGAUACCAAUUUAAUUUUCAAAGAAUUCUUUAUAAAACAAUUCACAGUAAUCUUAUAUAGUUCAUUCUUAUACAUAAAAAUAUGUAUAUACUCAUAAAAAAUGACUAUCAAGUGUUAAUUCUAAUGGAGAACUAUAAUUUAAAAGAUCAUUUAAUUAGUUCAGCUCUAAUUGUUUAGCAAUGUUUCCUUUUCUUCCAUUUGCCUUUACUCCCAGGAAGAAAAGAGCAUGGAGUAAGAAGACAGUGAAUUCUACUCUAACUCCAUAGGAAUGAGAAUGAAAAUUGAUUGCUCUAUCAUCUCCCAGAGAUAUCUCAAAAGAGUGCUCCAAAAUAUUUUGUGCUAAGACACAGAUGUUCUCACAUUCACAAAGCAAAGUAGUGCUCUAGGAUUGAUUAAUUUGGUCAAUUCGGCCUAUUUAGUUUUCAAAAGAAACCUGUUGUUGUUGUUGUUAAUGGUGUUUCUUUGCAUUGCGUAACUCUAAUUAGUUAUUUGCUUGAUUUUUACCUUUGAGCCAUUUAAAUUUGUUCUGGAUAAACAUAGUAUAAGUAACAUUUGUUAAAAAUAGAAGCUGUUUCUUUUUUUUGCCUUUUUCUUUCUUGCUUUCGUUUUACAGUUUAGAGACAAAACAAUGGGAGAUCUUAACAGAUGACUUAAUUAUCAAGAGGUAUCAAUUAUGUAAAUGAGUCUGAUGGUAAAUAGAGCAUCAUUUUCUUACAAAGUUGUUACUUCCUCUGGGACAAGGGUUCUCAAACUUGAGCAUGUAUCAGAAUCACCCCGAGGACUUGUUAUAAAACAGAUGGAAGACUCAUCCCUAGAGUUUUCGAUUUAGUAGGUCUGGGAUGGGGCCCGAGAAUUUGCAUUUUUUAAAGUUCCCAUGUGGUGAUGAUGCUGAGAUUCAGGAACCAUAUUUUUCAGAAAACUUCCCUAUCCCUGAAACUGGGUUCAACGAUCUUCUUAUGAGCCUCCUUUCCUCUCUCUGCUUACGCCUUUCUAGGAGUAUCACUCUGAAGUAUGAUGGCUGACUGACACGUCUAGCUCCUUUAUCAGAUCAUGAGCUCCCUGAAACAAGCAUCUGAUUUACAUGUCUGUAGAACAUGUCUGAUUUACAACCUAUAUCCCCCAGAGCACAGCAUAGGGCUGGUAGAGGGUAGUAGAUGGCUAAUAAUUAUAUGCUGAAUAAUACUUGAUUAAUAAAUAAAUGCAAAUUUAAGUUCUGAGGAAGAAAACAGAGAGAGAGAGAGAGAGAGUGUGUGUGUGUGUGUGUGUGGGUGUACAUACAGUCAUACACUGCUUAACAAUGGCAAUACUUUCUGAAAAAUGCAUUAUUAGGUGAUUUUGUUGUCCUGCAAAUAUCAUAGAGUAUACCUACACAAGCCUAGAUGGUACAUACCCUACUACACACCUAGGUUAUAUGGUAUGGCCUAUUGCUCCUAAGUUACAAACCUCUUACUGUACUGAAUACUGCAAGCAAUUGUAACACAAUGGUAAAUAUUUAUGUAUCUGAACAUAUCUAAACAUAGAAAAGGUAUAGUAAAAAUAUGGCAUUAUAAUCUUAUCAGAUUACUGUCAUAUAUGCAGUUCAUCGUUCAUGGAAAGGUUGUUAGGCAGUGCAUGACUACAUAUAUGUGUGUGUAUGUGUAUGCAUGUGUAUAUGUAUAUUUGUGAUUUAAAAUAUUCAAAGCAGUGAUAAGAGAAAUACUGUGUAUUCCAGGAAAAAAAAACCAUCAAAGAAACAAAGAGAAGUCUAAUCAGAGAAAGACUUAAAAAUUAGAACUUAAAAGUUUGCUUUAGUUACUAUAGUAUAUGAUGGAAAUAAAAUAUUUUAGAAAGAUAACAGUAAUAAAAAUGUACAAAUGGUUUCAACUUUGUCACUUAUGCUCUUUGGCCUACAAAUGCCUUUUCAUACUUCAUCUUGUGUAGCUGGUAAAACUAAGAAUCACCCCAAUUUACCUACAGUGUAGCCAAAGGCACACCAAAGAUCAGAAAGAUCACCCACAACCUAAACAGAAAAAGAGAAUUAUAAGAAGAAAAAAAUGGAAAAGACCUAGUAGGUCAUUCAGUUCUGGUCUCUACAGUAGUGGAAGAUUAAUAAAAUAGCACAGAAAAAAAUAUGGAAAUAUACCCAAGAAAACUUAAGACUCUCUGAUUCUCUAAUUUUUAGUGCCUCAUGAAGUUCAAGAGUUUAUUGUCAACUCAUUGCUUAAACCACCAUUUAUUAAAAGAAAACAUUCCCUAUAGUCUGCAUUGAAAAUGAAAAUAAGGCAGGCAAUGUAAAAAGUUGAUUUUGUGGUAUAAAAUGACCUCUUUUUCCUGUGUUCAUGAAUCUCUG